CUUAGAUUAAAUUAAGCUUCCUUGUUUUGUUGAAAAAGGUCGAGUCCUUUAAAACACGUCCAACAAGUCCCACAGUCGGGCUUUCACCAAAACAAGGAAGCUUAAUUUAAUCUAAGCCAUGAGCAUGAUAGAAAGGGGCAAGUUUCAGUCGGCAAAUGAUAGUGUCAUAGGCAAAUAAUCUCUUAAUUUACAACUACCACUCUCU
This 205-nucleotide unclassified non-coding RNA is filed under the name Hevea brasiliensis (rubber tree). The record is from RNAcentral. Lineage: Eukaryota; Viridiplantae; Streptophyta; Magnoliopsida; Malpighiales; Euphorbiaceae.